CGCAGCCCGGGCCCCCCCGGGGGUCGCGGGGCGCCCGCCGGAGGUACGAAACUCUGUAUUAUAGUGGCAUCUCUGAUUAAAAAACAAAUAAGUUAAAACUUUCAACAACGGAUCUCUUGGUUCUGGCAUCGAUGAAGAACGCAGCGAAAUGCGAUAAGUAAUGUGAAUUGCAGAAUUCAGUGAAUCAUCGAAUCUUUGAACGCACAUUGCGCCCGCCAGUACUCUGGCGGGCAUGCCUGUCCGAGCGUCAUUUCAACCCUCAAGCCCUGCUUGGUGUUGGGGCCCUACGUCUGACGUAGGCCCUGAAAGGAAGUGGCGGGCUCGCUACAACUCCGAGCGUAGUAAUUCAUUAUCUCGCUAGGGAAGUGUGGCGUGCUCCUGCCGUUAAAGACCCCAUCUUUAACCAAGGUGACCUCGAUCAGUAGAUCCCGGU
Molecule: ribosomal RNA, 433 nt
Filed under: Coniochaeta coluteae
Lineage: Eukaryota; Fungi; Ascomycota; Sordariomycetes; Coniochaetales; Coniochaetaceae
Description: eukaryotic LSU rRNA
Rfam family: 5.8S ribosomal RNA (bases 97-250)
Source: RNAcentral